Molecule: ribosomal RNA, 353 nt
Filed under: uncultured bacterium
Lineage: Bacteria
Description: partial 16S ribosomal RNA
Rfam family: Bacterial small subunit ribosomal RNA
Source: RNAcentral
CCUACGAGUGGCAGCAGUGAGGAAUAUUGGUCAAUGGGCGCGAGCCUGAACCAGCCAAGUAGCGUGAAGGAUGACUGCCCUACGGGUUGUAAACUUCUUUUAUAAAGGAAUAAAGUGAGGCACGUGUGCCUUUUUGUAUGUACUUUAUGAAUAAGGAUCGGCUAACUCCGUGCCAGCAGCCGCGGUAAUACGGAGGAUCCGAGCGUUAUCCGGAUUUAUUGGGUUUAAAGGGAGCGUAGAUGGGUUGUUAAGUCAGUUGUGAAAGUUUGCGGCUCAACCGUAAAAUUGCAAUUGAUACUGGCAGUCUUGAGUACAGUGGAGGUAGGCGGAAGUCUGGGUGGAGCGGUGAAAUG